AGUGAACGCUGGCGGUAGGCCUAACACAUGCAAGUCGAACGGCAGCACAGUAAGAGCUUGCUCUUACGGGUGGCGAGUGGCGGACGGGUGAGGAAUACAUCGGAAUCUACUUUUUCGUGGGGGAUAACGUAGGGAAACUUACGCUAAUACCGCAUACGACCUACGGGUGAAAGCAGGGGAUCUUCGGACCUUGCGCGAUUGAAUGAGCCGAUGUCGGAUUAGCUAGUUGGCGGGGUAAAGGCCCACCAAGGCGACGAUCCGUAGCUGGUCUGAGAGGAUGGUCGGCCGCACUGGGAGUGAGACGCGGUCCAGGCUCCGACGGGAGGCAGGAGUGGGGAAUAUUGGACAAUGGGGGCAAGCCUGAUCCAGCCAUACCGCGUGAGUGAAGAAGGCCUUCGGGUUGUAAAGCCCUUUUGUUGGGAAAGAAAAGCAGCAGGUGAAUACCCCGCUGUUCUGACGGUACCCAAAGAAUAAGCACCGGCUAACUUCGUG
Molecule: ribosomal RNA, 492 nt
Filed under: uncultured bacterium
Lineage: Bacteria
Description: partial 16S ribosomal RNA
Rfam family: Bacterial small subunit ribosomal RNA
Source: RNAcentral